This 1000-nucleotide ribosomal RNA is filed under the name Burkholderia vietnamiensis. RNAcentral's name for it is "bacterial SSU rRNA". It matches the Rfam family "Bacterial small subunit ribosomal RNA", at positions 42 to 1034 of the family's 1533-position model. The record is from RNAcentral. Lineage: Bacteria; Pseudomonadati; Pseudomonadota; Betaproteobacteria; Burkholderiales; Burkholderiaceae.
GCAUUCCUAACACAUGCAAGUCGAACGGCAGCACGGGUGCUUGCACCUGGUGGCGAGUGGCGAACGGGUGAGUAAUACAUCGGAACAUGUCCUGUAGUGGGGGAUAGCCCGGCGAAAGCCGGAUUAAUACCGCAUACGAUCUAUGGAUGAAAGCGGGGGACCUUCGGGCCUCGCGCUAUAGGGUUGGCCGAUGGCUGAUUAGCUAGUUGGUGGGGUAAAGGCCUACCACGGCGACGAUCAGUAGCUGGUCUGAGAGGACGACCAGCCACACUGGGACUGAGACACGGCCCAGACUCCUACGGGAGGCAGCAGUGGGGAAUUUUGGACAAUGGGCGAAAGCCUGAUCCAGCAAUGCCGCGUGUGUGAAGAAGGCCUUCGGGUUGUAAAGCACUUUUGUCCGGAAAGAAAUCCUUGGCUCUAAUACAGUCGGGGGAUGACGGUACCGGAAGAAUAAGCACCGGCUAACUACGUGCCAGCAGCCGCGGUAAUACGUAGGGUGCAAGCGUUAAUCGGAAUUACUGGGCGUAAAGCGUGCGCAGGCGGUUUGCUAAGACCGAUGUGAAAUCCCCGGGCUCAACCUGGGAACUGCAUUGGUGACUGGCAGGCUAGAGUAUGGCAGAGGGGGGUAGAAUUCCACGUGUAGCAGUGAAAUGCGUAGAGAUGUGGAGGAAUACCGAUGGCGAAGGCAGCCCCCUGGGCCAAUACUGACGCUCAUGCACGAAAGCGUGGGGAGCAAACAGGAUUAGAUACCCUGGUAGUCCACGCCCUAAACGAUGUCAACUAGUUGUUGGGGAUUCAUUUCCUUAGUAACGUAGCUAACGCGUGAAGUUGACCGCCUGGGGAGUACGGUCGCAAGAUUAAAACUCAAAGGAAUUGACGGGGACCCGCACAAGCGGUGGAUGAUGUGGAUUAAUUCGAUGCAACGCGAAAAACCUUACCUACCCUUGACAUGGUCGGAAUCCUGAAGAGAUUCGGGAGUGCUCGAAAGAGAACCGGCGCA